GUGCCAGCAGCCGCGGUAAUACGGAGGGUGCAAGCGUUAAUCGGAAUUACUGGGCGUAAAGGGCGCGUAGGUGGCUUGAUAAGCCGGAUGUGAAAGCCCCGGGCUCAACCUGGGAACGGCAUCCGGAACUGUCAGGCUAGAGUGCAGGAGAGGAAGGUAGAAUUCCCGGUGUAGCGGUGAAAUGCGUAGAGAUCGGGAGGAAUACCAGAGGCGAAGGCGGCCUUCUGGACUGACACUGACACUGAGGUGCGAAAGCGUGGGUAGCAAACAGGAUUAGAUACCCUGGUAGUCCACGCCGUAAACGAUGUCCACCAGCCGUUGGGUGCCUAACGGACUUUGUGGCGAACUUAACGCGAUAAGUCUACCGCCUGGGGAGUACGGCCGCAAGGUUAAAACUCAAAUGAAUUGACGGGGGCCCGCACAAGCGGUGGAGCAUGUGGUUUAAUUCGAUGCAACGCGCAGAACCUUACC
This 471-nucleotide ribosomal RNA is filed under the name uncultured Pseudomonadota bacterium. RNAcentral describes it as "bacterial SSU rRNA". It matches the Rfam family "Bacterial small subunit ribosomal RNA", at positions 505 to 975 of the family's 1533-position model. Lineage: Bacteria; Pseudomonadati; Pseudomonadota. The record is from RNAcentral.